Molecule: ribosomal RNA, 155 nt
Organism: Astyanax mexicanus (Mexican tetra)
Lineage: Eukaryota; Metazoa; Chordata; Actinopteri; Characiformes; Acestrorhamphidae
Rfam family: Eukaryotic large subunit ribosomal RNA
Source: Rfam
UGUUUAUUAAAACAAUGCAAUGUGAGUGGGUGUUGACACGAUGUGAUUUCUGCCCAGUGCUCUAAAUGUCAAAGUGAAGAAAUUCAAUGAAGCGCGGGAAAGCGGCGGGAGUAACUAUGACUCUCUCAGCACACCCCGACGUCACUGGAAUGAGG